Molecule: long non-coding RNA, 579 nt
Filed under: Ictidomys tridecemlineatus (thirteen-lined ground squirrel)
Lineage: Eukaryota; Metazoa; Chordata; Mammalia; Rodentia; Sciuridae
Description: lncRNA (ENSSTOG00000029493.1)
Source: RNAcentral
GUCAGACCCAGGACGUUGGGGACACUUGGAGCCUGGGGAGGAGCAGCUUCUGCAGGGCGCUCCCCACCCCGCCGUGGGAAUGCUGCAGACUUGACAGCCCGCCUUUGGGAAAGGGCCAGCCACCACGCCACCCUGCUGCAGGGCCCCGGGCUUCCCAAGGUGGAGGUGACGCCGGCCAGGGGCGGGGCAAGCGACAGGUGUCCCCACUCACCUCCUGCCACUGCCCGGCCCUCCAGGCGAAGCGCGGGCAAGGCGGGCUCUCGCAGGCGCGCUCCGACGCGGGUCUGGCAAAGAGGUCGCACUGGGUGUCGCGCGCUGGUCUGUGCGUCCCGAUCUGACAGCUCACGCGCCUCUGCUGCACGCCGGGGCCACAGGACGCCGAGCACUGGGAAGACAGAGGACGAGAAAAGGCUCCCAUGUCUCCAGUCCAUUGGGAAGAGGUGCAAAAGGCCAAUGGAAAACCGGAAGAUAGCAGCCUCCAGAGCUGCUGUGAUGACAGGUGCGCACCACCAUACUCGGAGACAAUUUCUUAAUCAUUAAGAAGCCAGUGAAUAACCCGUGUGUCUGCCUGGGUGAGAA